UAAGGAAUAUUGCUCAAUGGGAGAAAUCCUGAAGCAGCAACGCCGUGUGAGGGACGAAGGGCUUAAGCUUGUAAACCUCUGUAGCAGGGGGAAAAAACCUUCAUUUUAUGGAGUAUGAUCGUACCCUGAAAGUAAGCCUCGGCUAACUACGUGCCAGCAGCCGCGGUAAUACGUAGGAGGCUAACGUUGUCCGGAUUUACUGGGUGUAAAGGGUGCUCAGGCGGUUCUUUAAGUCAAUGGUGAAAUCUCCCGACUUAAUCGGGAAACUGCCUUUGAUACUAUUGAGCUUGAGUGCAGAAGAGGCGGAUGGAAUUUCUGGUGUAGCAGUGAAAUGCGUAGAUAUCAGAAAGAACACCAGUGGCGAAGGCGGUCCGCUGGUCUGUCACUGACGCUAAAGCACGAAAGCGUGGGGAGCAAACAGGAUUAGAUACCCUGGUAGUCCACGCCUUAAACGAUGAAUACUAGACGUUGGGGUAAAACUCAGUGUCGCAGCUAACGCUAAG
RNAcentral lists this ribosomal RNA (503 nucleotides) under uncultured bacterium. Its description in RNAcentral is "bacterial SSU rRNA". It matches the Rfam family "Bacterial small subunit ribosomal RNA", at positions 355 to 864 of the family's 1533-position model. The record is from RNAcentral.